Acomys russatus (golden spiny mouse) is the source of this 144-nucleotide small nucleolar RNA. RefSeq annotates it as small nucleolar RNA SNORA48. NCBI's taxonomy places the organism in Eukaryota, Metazoa, Chordata, Mammalia, Rodentia, Muridae. The transcript has a single exon. The record is from RefSeq and is a predicted model, not a curated record.
ACCCCCUGGCAAUUGACAAAUAGACACCUUGGUGACAGUGGUGUUCUUAUAUCAGUCAGGGGCAGAGCAGAUGGCGGUCCUUUGUUCAUCCUAGCAUGAUGCCUGGCUUGGUACCCCAAGCUGUUUUAUGUCUAGGACUCAUAA